This 827-nucleotide ribosomal RNA is filed under the name uncultured bacterium. Its description in RNAcentral is "bacterial SSU rRNA". It matches the Rfam family "Bacterial small subunit ribosomal RNA", at positions 8 to 828 of the family's 1533-position model. The record is from RNAcentral.
AGAGUUUGAUCCUGGCUCAGAUUGAACGCUGGCGGAAUGCUUUACACAUGCAAGUCGAACGGUAACAGCAGAGCUUGCUCUGGCUGACGAGUGGCGGACGGGUGAGUAAUAUAUCGGAACGUGUCCAAUAAUGGGGGAUAACUAGCCGAAAGGUUGGCUAAUACCGCAUACGCCCUGAGGGGGAAAGCUGGGGAUCUUCGGACCUGGCGUUAAUGGAGCGGCCGAUACCUGAUUAGCUAGUAGGUGGGGUAAAAGCCUACCUAGGCAACGAUCAGUAGCUGGUCUGAGAGGACGACCAGCCACACUGGGACUGAGACACGGCCCAGACUCCUACGGGAGGCAGCAGUGGGGAAUUUUGGACAAUGGGGGCAACCCUGAUCCAGCCAUUCCGCGUGAGUGAAGAAGGCCUUCGGGUUGUAAAGCUCUUUCGCAAGAGAAGAAACGAUAUAGGUUAAUAGCCUAUGUUAAUGACGGUAUCUUGACAAGAAGCACCGGCUAACUACGUGCCAGCAGCCGCGGUAAUACGUAGGGUGCAAGCGUUAAUCGGAAUUACUGGGCGUAAAGCGUGCGCAGGCGGUUUGGUAAGUCAGAUGUGAAAUCCCCGAGCUCAACUUGGGAACUGCGUUUGAAACUACCAGACUAGAAUAUGUCAGAGGGGGGUAGAAUUCCACGUGUAGCAGUGAAAUGCGUAGAGAUGUGGAGGAAUACCAAUGGCGAAGGCAGCCCCCUGGGAUAAUAUUGACGCUCAUGUACGAAAGCGUGGGGAGCGAACAGGAUUAGAUACCCUGGUAGUCCACGCCCUAAACGAUGUCAACUAGUUGUUGGUG